RNAcentral lists this ribosomal RNA (253 nucleotides) under uncultured bacterium. RNAcentral describes it as "partial 16S ribosomal RNA". It matches the Rfam family "Bacterial small subunit ribosomal RNA", at positions 524 to 776 of the family's 1533-position model. The record is from RNAcentral.
UACGUAGGGACCAAGCGUUGUUCGGAUUUACUGGGCGUAAAGGGCGCGUAGGCGGCGUGGUAAGUCACUUGUGAAAUCUCUGAGCUUAACUCAGAACGGUCAAGUGAUACUGCUGUGCUAGAGUGCGGAAGGGGCAAUCGGAAUUCUUGGUGUAGCGGUGAAAUGCGUAGAUAUCAGGAGGAACACCGGUGGCGAAGGCGGGUCUCUGGGCCGAUACUGACGCUGAGGAGCGAAAGCGUGGGGAGCGAACAGG